UCGAGCGAGUCUGCCUUGAAGAUCGGAGUGCUUGUACUCUGUGAAACAAGAUACAGGCUAGCGGCGGACGGGUGAGUAACACGUGGGUAACCUGCCCAAGAGAUCGGGAUAACACCUGGAAACAGAUGCUAAUACCGGAUAACAACAGAUGAUGCCUAUCAACUGUUUAAAAGAUGGUUCUGCUAUCACUCUUGGAUGGACCUGCGGUGCAUUAGCUAGUUGGUAGGGUAACGGCCUACCAAGGCGAUGAUGCAUAGCCGAGUUGAGAGACUGAUCGGCCACAUUGGGACUGAGACACGGCCCAAACUCCUACGGGAGGCAGCAGUAGGGAAUCUUCCACAAUGGACGCAAGUCUGAUGGAGCAACGCCGCGUGAGUGAAGAAGGGUUUCGGCUCGUAAAGCUCUGUUGUUGGUGAAGAAGGACAGGGGUAGUAACUGACCUUUGUUUGACGGUAAUCAAUUAGAAAGUCACGGCUAACUACGUGCCAGCAGCCGCGGUAAUACGUAGGUGGCAAGCGUUGUCCGGAUUUAUUGGGCGUAAAGCGAGUGCAGGCGGCUCGAUAAGUCUGAUGUGAAAGCCUUCGGCUCAACCGGAGAAUUGCAUCAGAAACUGUCGAGCUUGAGUACAGAAGAGGAGAGUGGAACUCCAUGUGUAGCGGUGAAAUGCGUAGAUAUAUGGAAGAACACCGGUGGCGAAAGCGGCUCUCUGGUCUGUUACUGACGCUGAGGCUCGAAAGCAUGGGUAGCGAACAGGAUUAGAUACCCUGGUAGUCCAUGCCGUAAACGAUGAGUGCUAAGUGUUGGGAGGUUUCCGCCUCUCAGUGCU
Molecule: ribosomal RNA, 826 nt
Filed under: uncultured bacterium
Lineage: Bacteria
Description: bacterial SSU rRNA
Rfam family: Bacterial small subunit ribosomal RNA
Source: RNAcentral